Non-coding RNA from Pelobates cultripes (western spadefoot toad), 354 nucleotides. NCBI's taxonomy places the organism in Eukaryota, Metazoa, Chordata, Amphibia, Anura, Pelobatidae. The record is from the annotation of a GenBank genome assembly.
GUCUGUCAGUGUGUGUAUGUGUCAGUAUGUCUGUUAGUGUGUGUGUCAGCAUGUCUGUCAGUGUGUAUGUGUGUGUGUGUGUCAGUAUAUGUGUUCAUGUGUCAGUAUGUCUGUCAGUAUAUGUGUGUGUCCGUAUGUCUGUCUGUGUGUGUGUGUCUGCAUGUUUGUGUGUGUCAAUAUAUCUGUCAGUCAAUAUAUGUGUGUCAGUAUGUUUGUCUGUGUUUGUAUGUAUCAGUAUGUCUGUCAGUGUAUAUUUUUGUGUAAGUAUGUCUUGCACCUCUCUACUUUAGUUCCCCCACUGCGUUAGGGUGAAAUGUGUGAUUGCACGCCAGGAUGUUGGGGCUAGUGGGGGGG